GCGAUAUAUUUUAUGAUCAAAGCUGCUGGAUUCUGGACUCCACCGCCAGGGCGCAACAUGGAUCAAGAGGUGCGCAGUGCGCACUCCGCCCCUGGGCGCCCACCGGCAGCGGUCGUCGAGCUCACCAAGACCCAAGCCUGCAGCGGCCAAGGUCCUCCCCAUAUGCCGGGAGGAUUCAG
Long non-coding RNA from Amphibalanus amphitrite, 179 nucleotides. RefSeq lists it as uncharacterized. Lineage: Eukaryota; Metazoa; Arthropoda; Thecostraca; Balanomorpha; Balanidae. The transcript is spliced from 4 exons. The record is from RefSeq and is a predicted model, not a curated record.